RNAcentral lists this ribosomal RNA (373 nucleotides) under uncultured bacterium. Its description in RNAcentral is "bacterial SSU rRNA". It matches the Rfam family "Bacterial small subunit ribosomal RNA", at positions 335 to 698 of the family's 1533-position model. The record is from RNAcentral.
ACUCCUACGGGAGGCAGCAGUAGGGAAUCUUCCACAAUGGGCGCAAGCCUGAUGGAGCAACACCGCGUGAGUGAAGAAGGGUUUCGGCUCGUAAAGCUCUGUUGUUAAAGAAGAACACGUAUGAGAGUAACUGUUCAUACGUUGACGGUUAUUUAACCAGAAAGUCACGGCUAACUACGUGCCAGCAGCCGCGGUAAUACGUAGGUGGCAAGCGUUAUCCGGUAUUUAUUGGGCGUAAAGAGAGUGCAGGUCGGUUUUCUAAGUCUGAUGUGAAAGCCUUCGGCUUAACCGGAGAAGUGCAUCGGAAACUGGAUAACUUGAGUGCAGAAGAGGUAGUGGAACUCCAUGUGUAGCGGUGGAAUGCGUAGAUAUA